Molecule: ribosomal RNA, 300 nt
Filed under: uncultured Oleiphilaceae bacterium
Lineage: Bacteria; Pseudomonadati; Pseudomonadota; Gammaproteobacteria; Oceanospirillales; Oleiphilaceae
Description: bacterial SSU rRNA
Rfam family: Bacterial small subunit ribosomal RNA
Source: RNAcentral
CGCGUAGAAAACUGCCCAGUAGUGGGGGAUAGCCCAGAGAAAUUUGGAUUAAUACCGCAUACGCCCUACGGGGGAAAGGAGGCUUCGGCUUUCGCUAUUGGAUGUGUCUGCGUGAGAUUAGCUAGUUGGUGGGGUAAAGGCUCACCAAGGCGACGAUCUCUAGCUGGUCUGAGAGGAUGAUCAGCCACACUGGAACUGAGACACGGUCCAGACUCCUACGGGAGGCAGCAGUGGGGAAUAUUGCACAAUGGGCGAAAGCCUGAUGCAGCCAUGCCGCGUGUGUGAAGAAGGCUCUAGGGU